Molecule: ribosomal RNA, 378 nt
Filed under: uncultured bacterium
Lineage: Bacteria
Description: bacterial SSU rRNA
Rfam family: Bacterial small subunit ribosomal RNA
Source: RNAcentral
GACGAACGCUGGCGGCGUGCUUAACACAUGCAAGUCGGGCGGUAAGGCCCUUUCGGGGGUACACGAGCGGCGAACGGGUGAGUAACACGUGGGUGACCUGCCCUUAGCUCUGGGAUAAGCCUGGGAAACUGGGUCUAAUACCGGAUAUGACUCCAUGACGCAUGUUGUGGGGUGGAAAGCCUUGUGCGGCUAGGGAUGGGCCCGCGGCCUAUCAGCUUGUUGGUGGGGUGAUGGCCUACCAAGGCGACGACGGGUAGCCGGCCUGAGAGGGCGACCGGCCACACUGGGACUGAGACACGGCCCAGACUCCUACGGGAGGCAGCAGUGGGGAAUCUUGCGCAAUGGGCGAAAGCCUGACGCAGCGACGCCGCGUGGGGA